GCAAAGUCUCCUCCCCCCUCAUCUUCAUCCUCCCGCCCCACCCGGACGAGAUGUCCCAAUCCGAAGUCACCCUCACCUGUCUCAUCCGCGGCUUCCAACCGGAGAACGUCCAAGUCCAAUGGUUGAAGAACCACGAGAACGUUCCCGAGGACCAUUACGUCACGACCCCGCCCUUGAAGGAAGGGUCAAAGGUCACCACCUUCUUCACCUACAGCAAGAUGGCCGUCCCCAAGAGCAGCUGGGAGAGCGGUGACGUCUACGCCUGCAUGGUUGUCCACGAAGGGUUGCCCAUGAAGUUCACCCAACGCCAAGUUCAAAAAAGCCCCG
This is a non-coding RNA of Cariama cristata (Red-legged seriema), 327 nucleotides long. The record is from the annotation of a RefSeq genome assembly. Lineage: Eukaryota; Metazoa; Chordata; Aves; Cariamiformes; Cariamidae.